Molecule: ribosomal RNA, 468 nt
Filed under: uncultured bacterium
Lineage: Bacteria
Description: partial 16S ribosomal RNA
Rfam family: Bacterial small subunit ribosomal RNA
Source: RNAcentral
GACGAACGCUGGCGGCGUGCUUAACACAUGCAAGUCGAACGGAAAGGCCCUACUUUUGUGGUGUUCUCGGGUGGCGAACGGGUGAGUAACACGUGAGUAACCUGCCCUUCACUUUGGUAUAACUUCAGGAAACUGGGGCUAAUACCGGAUAGCAGCUCCCGCUGCAUUGUGGGCGUUGGAUCUUUUCUGCGGGUGGGGAUGGACUCGCGGCUUAUCAGCUUGUUGGUUGGGUAGUGGCUUACCAAGGCUUUGACGGGUCGGCGGCCUGAGAGGGGGAACGGCCACAUGGGGACUGAGAUACGGCGCAGACUCGUACGGGAGGCAGCAGGGGGGAGUAUUGCACAAUGGGAGGAAGCCUGAGGCAGCAACGCCGCGUGCGGGAUGACGGCCUUCGGGUUGUAAACAGCAUUCGCCUGUGACGAAGCGGGAGUGACGGUAAUGGGUAAAGAAGCACCGGCUAACUACGUG